AUUGAACGCUGGCGGCAUGCCUUACACAUGCAAGUCGAACGGCAGCACGGUUAGUUGUUGCUGGUGGCGGGUGCGGGUCGCGGACGUGUUACAUCUACAUCUGACUCUACUUUUUCGUUAGGCCGACCGUAGGCGAAUUUAUGCUAAUACCGCAUACGACCUGCGGGUGGAAGCACUUCGGCUUCCGCCCUUUCGCGUUUGCCUGAGCCGAUGUCGGAUUAGCUAGUUGGCGGGGCAAAGGCCCACCAAGGCGACGAUCCGUAGCUGGUCUACGAGGAUGAUCAGCCAAACUGGGACUGAGACACGGUCCAGACUCCUACGGGAGGCAGCAGUGGGGAAUUUUGGACAAAGGGCGAAAGCCUGAUCCAGCCAUACCGCGUGGGUGAAGAAGGCCUUCGGGUUGUAAAGCCCUUUUGUUGGGAAAGAAAAGCAGUGGGCUAAUACCGCGCGGUGAUGACGGUACCGGAAGAAUAAGCACCGGCUAACUACGUG
RNAcentral lists this ribosomal RNA (492 nucleotides) under uncultured bacterium. Its description in RNAcentral is "partial 16S ribosomal RNA". It matches the Rfam family "Bacterial small subunit ribosomal RNA", at positions 30 to 507 of the family's 1533-position model. The record is from RNAcentral.